AUGGGAAGCAUAGGGACAGUUCAGAUGACGGUCCAGGAGCUCGCUGGCGCCCUGGGCACGCCCGACGUGCCAGCUCAGUACAUCGUGCGCGCGCACCAGGACCAACAGCUCGCCGCGGCGGUCGUUGCACCAGUCCCUGUCAUUGACCUCGGCCGCCUUUUGAAGCACGGCGACGGCACCUCAGACGAGGCGGCGAAGCUCCGGUCAGCCAUCGAGUCCUGGGGCCUCUUUAUGGUAAGUGACAACCCAAGCCGGGCUAGGUUCAAGCUCUGCUCGGACUCGGCCGGCGCCUUUUCUCUAAAAAAUGAGCUGCAGCUGCGUACUAUCCCACUAUUUUGGAGCAAGACCAAGCAGCAAUAUCCAUGUGGUUUCGUAUGCAUCUUCUUGCAGGUGAGUAACCACGGUGUAGACGCCGUAAUGGACGACAUGAUGGCCGCUUCGAGGGAAUUUUUCCGGCAGCCGCUCGAAGAGAAGCAGAGAUACACCAACCUGAUCAGCGGCGAGCGGUUCCAGUUCGAGGGGUAUGGGAACGACUGGGUGAGCUCGCCGGACCAAAUCCGUGACUGGACUGACCGCCUCUACCUCAAGGUGGAGCCAGAGGACGAGCGGAGCAUCGCCCUCUGGCCAACUCAUCCCAAAACCUUUAGGGAUGCUCUGCACGAGUUUACGAAGAAAUGCGGGGGAGUGAAGGACGACCUGCUCAGGGCAAUGGCGAAGCUGCUGGAGCUUGACGACGAUGAUUACUUUGUGAAACACUUUGGGGAGAGGCCUCUCACUAACGCGAGGUGCAGCUACUACCCGGAGUGUCCGAGGCCGGAGCUCGUGUUUGGCCUCAAGCCCCACUCCGAUGGAACUGUUGUUACAGUCCUCAUGGUCGAUGACAGGGUUGGUGGCCUGCAAGUUCUCAAAGAUGGGGUCUGGUGGGAUGUACCAAUCGUACCUCACACGCUACUCCUGAUUAUAGGAGAUCAAACUGAGAUAAUGAGCAAUGGGAUCUUUAAGAGCCCUGUGCAUAGGGUCGUGACAAACACAAAGAAAGAGAGGCUAUCGGUGGCACUAGACUACUCUGUUGAUCCUGAAAAAGAAAUCGAGCCAUCGGCUCAGUUGAUCAAUGAAAAGAGGUCGGCGUUGUACACAAAAGUGAAGGUCAAGGACUACUAUGCUAGAAAUUACAAUGAUUUUACUCAGGGCAAAAUGGCUAUCGAUACAGUGAAGGUCUAA
RNAcentral lists this ribosomal RNA (1221 nucleotides) under Triticum aestivum (bread wheat). RNAcentral describes it as "partial small subunit ribosomal RNA". Lineage: Eukaryota; Viridiplantae; Streptophyta; Magnoliopsida; Poales; Poaceae. The record is from RNAcentral.